Carica papaya (papaya) is the source of this 2363-nucleotide non-coding RNA. NCBI's taxonomy places the organism in Eukaryota, Viridiplantae, Streptophyta, Magnoliopsida, Brassicales, Caricaceae. The record is from RefSeq and is a predicted model, not a curated record.
GUUCAGUGAUGGUUUUGUAUCAAAUGACCAGCAUGAGCAUGCACGAUCUAUUUCGGAGAAUGCAGAUACCUUACCGACAAAUGCCCUACACAUUUCUAUCCCUUCUAGUAAUUACAAGUCCCCAAGACCAACCAUGUCACCAAUGUCACCAAGAUCAUGUACCGUAAGUAUUACGAGUCCUACAGAAGGGAGUCCAAGCAAGAGAAGUCCAGGCAAGAGAAGUCCAGGCAAGUAUGAGAGACAUUCACUUUCUCCCAAAAAUGGGCAACCCAAGAAAGGUAGCGCUGGGGUUAAAGAUACGUGGGAAGGGUCAGUUGAUACCGAAGAAAAUUAUCUUCUUAACCCCAAAGACCCAAACUACGACAGUAGUGAGGAUUAUGGAUAUCUAAAUGCAAUAAAUCUGCCUAAAGAUUUUGAUGAGUACAAAAAGAAAGCUACAGUAAUAGUAGAGGAGUAUUUUGCCACUGAUGAUGUUGUCUCCACUGCUAAUGAAUUAAAAGAACUUGGGAUACCAAGCUAUAACUACUAUUUUGUGAAGAAGCUGGUCUCUAUUGCUAUGGAUAGGCAUGAUAAGGAGAAAGAAAUGGCUGCUGUUCUGUUAUCCACGCUUUAUGCAGACGUCAUUGAUCCCUCGCAGGUUUACAAAGGCUUCAAUCUAUUGGUUGAGGCUGCAGAUGACUUGAUUGUUGAUAUACCUGACACAGUUGAUGUUUUAGCACUGUUCGUAGCUCGAGCUGUGGUUGAUGACAUACUCCCUCCAGCAUUCUUAAAGAGACAAAUGGAUUCCUUGCCUCCCGAUUCAAAGGGAGUUGCAGUACUACAGAGAGCUGAGAAAAGUUAUCUAGCAGCUCCACUUCAUGCUGAAAUAGUUGAGCGACGAUGGGGAGGCAACAGGAACAAAACAGUUGACGGGGUCAAAGCUAAAAUAGACAAUUUGCUGAAUGAGUAUGUAGUGAGUGGUGACAAAAAAGAAGCUUGCAGAUGCAUCAAAGAUUUGAAAGUGUGUUUCUUUUACCAUGAAAUUGUCAAACGAGCACUUAUAAUGGCAAUGGAGAGGCGUCAAGCUGAAGGACGAAUUCUUGAUUUGUUAAAAGCAGCAGCAGAAGAAGGUUUGAUUAAUUCAAGCCAAAUAACAAAGGGUUAUGGCAGGUUGAUUGACAUUGUUGAUGAUUUAUCACUUGACAUCCCAAAUGCAAGACGUAUAUUGCGGUCUUUGAUUUCUAAGGCGGCAUCUGAGGGCUGGUUGUGUGCUUCAUCUUUAAAAUCAUUCUCAUUGGAGCCGGAGAAGAGAUCAUUAGGAGAUGAUGCCGCCAAAAUUUUCAAGAUGAAGGCUCAGUCAAUUAUCCAAGAGUAUUUCUUGUCUGGUGACAUCUUAGAGGUAAUCAGUUGUCUAGAGUCAGAGAACAGCAGUUGUUCAGGAGAACUAAAUGCCAUCUUCAUUAAGAGAUUGAUAACGUUAGCAAUGGAUCGAAAAAAUAGAGAGAAAGAAAGGGCUUCAACUUUGUUGUCAUCACUGUCUUUUCCACCUGAUGAUUCUGUAAACGGUUUUGUAAUGUUGAUAGAGUCUGCAGAUGACACUGCUCUCGACAACCCUGUUGUUGCUGAGGAUCUUGCAAUGUUUCUGGCUAGAGCGGUGGUGGAUGAGGUAUUGGCUCCACAACAUUUAGAGGAAAUUGAAUCCCAGUUUUGGGGGCAAGAAUCAAUUGGUAGCAAAGUGCUGCAAAUGGCAAAGUCAUUGCUAAAAGCUCGACUCUCCGGUGAAAGGAUCUUAAGGUGUUGGGGUGGAGGAGGAAGCAGCAGGCAUGGAUGGGCGGUUGAGGAUAUCAAAGAAAAAAUAGGAAAGCUGUUGGAGGAGUAUGAGUCUGGUGGGGACGUUAGAGAAGCUUGUCAUUGCAUAAAAGAGCUAGGGAUGCCAUUCUUUCAUCAUGAGGUGGUCAAGAAAGCAUUGAUAACAGUCAUCGAGAAAAAGAAUAAGAGGCUCUGGGGUUUGCUUGAAGAGUGUUUUGAAUCAGGACUCAUAACUAUGUAUCAAAUGACGAAGGGUUUCGGUAGGGUAGCAGAAUCUCUAGAGGACUUAGCCCUGGAUGUGCCUGAUGCUGAGAAACAAUUCACAAGUUAUGUUGAAAGAGCCAGGAUAUCGGGGUGGUUGGAUUCCUCCUCCAGUUUCAGCAAAGCAGAACAUGCAAAAGAGAACGGUAACUGUGUAUGAUACUUAACAGAGGCUAUAGGACUCAGAUGAUAAAAGAAUGCGCAUAGAGUAUGUUUUGGAGAAAUGACCCGUCACUGGAAGCCGAUCUGCAGUCGCAUGUGUCAAAACAGGAAAGCAUUUGGAUCUUGGUUUGCACUUUGCAGCACUAACAACU